RNAcentral lists this ribosomal RNA (1366 nucleotides) under Dactylidina shoemakeri. RNAcentral's name for it is "bacterial SSU rRNA". It matches the Rfam family "Eukaryotic small subunit ribosomal RNA", at positions 76 to 1119 of the family's 1831-position model. The record is from RNAcentral. Lineage: Eukaryota; Fungi; Ascomycota; Dothideomycetes; Pleosporales; Phaeosphaeriaceae.
AUACCGUGAAACUGCGAAUGGCUCAUUAAAUCAGUUAUCGUUUAUUUGAUAGUACCUUACUACUUGGAUAACCGUGGUAAUUCUAGAGCUAAUACAUGCUAAAAACCCCAACUUCGGGAGGGGUGUAUUUAUUAGAUAAAAAACCAACGCCCUUCGGGGCUUCUUGGUGAUUCAUGAUAACUUUACGGAUCGCAUGGCCUUGCGCCGGCGACGGUUCAUUCAAAUUUCUGCCCUAUCAACUUUCGAUGGUAAGGUAUUGGCUUACCAUGGUUUCAACGGGUAACGGGGAAUUAGGGUUCGAUUCCGGAGAGGGAGCCUGAGAAACGGCUACCACAUCCAAGGAAGGCAGCAGGCGCGCAAAUUACCCAAUCCCGACACGGGGAGGUAGUGACAAUAAAUACUGAUACAGGGCUCUUUUGGGUCUUGUAAUUGGAAUGAGUACAAUUUAAACCUCUUAACGAGGAACAAUUGGAGGGCAAGUCUGGUGACAAUUCAGCUCCCAUUCUGCUGACGCCAGAAAUAGUCAGGCAAUUCGAGAGAAUUGUUAUGCUGGCUAGUCGAUGUACCUACUGUUAUGAUGGGCAGGUACCGGCAAGACAACCUGGAUCGGGGAAGGCUAAGGCGUUUACACGCUAUGCUAAUCCCGAGCAGAGCUGCCAUAGGGAGACCUUUGGUAUAGCCUGUGUAGAGCACGGAAAGGUGUCGGCUAACUCACGUAGUUGGCUUAAGGGACGUGCCAUUCCCACCCGAAAGGGUGGCUGUCAACAAUAGCGCCCAUCACGCGAAGGUUGACAGGUUUGAAAUAUUCAAAGUUUAAUAGGCCAGCAGCCGCGGUAAUUCCAGCUCCAAUAGCGUAUAUUAAAGUUGUUGCAGUUAAAAAGCUCGUAGUUGAAACUUGGGUCUGGCUGGCAGGUCCGCCUCACCGCGUGUACUUGUCCGGCCGGGCCUUCCUUCUGGAGAACCUCAUGCCCUUCACUGGGCGUGUUGGGGACCAGGACUUUUACUUUGAAAAAAUUAGAGUGUUCAAAGCAGGCCUUUGCUCGAAUACGUUAGCAUGGAAUAAUAGAAUAGGACGUGCGGUCCUAUUUUGUUGGUUUCUAGGACCGCCGUAAUGAUUAAUAGGGACAGUCGGGGGCAUCAGUAUUCAAUUGUCAGAGGUGAAAUUCUUGGAUUUAUUGAAGACUAACUACUGCGAAAGCAUUUGCCAAGGAUGUUUUCAUUAAUCAGUGAACGAAAGUUAGGGGAUCGAAGACGAUCAGAUACCGUCGUAGUCUUAACCGUAAACUAUGCCGACUAGGGAUCGGGCGAUGUUCUUUUUCUGACUCGCUCGGCACCUUACGAGAAAUCAAAGUUUUUGGGUCUGGGG